UUCUCCACCCUAUGGUUCUAUUUGUACAUGGACAUGGUAAGCUCUUUAGGAUAAGGAUCCUGUCUUCCUAUCUCUCUCUAAAGUACCUAACCACAGUAUUGGCAUUACAUAAAUAAUAGUAUUACCAUGCCAAGCAUGUGUACUGCAAAGAUAAGAAUACCAGACCAUCCUUAAGUCUCAAUGUCUGUGGAUUUGCAUCACAAUUCUACAGCAGCUGAAAGUUAUGCGAUUGGAUAUUCUAUGACAAUCCAUUCUGGACCCAGGAAGGUGAUGGGUGUUCAUGAAGAAUUACUGGCAAAUUAAAAGAUUUUCAACAGUGCAAGAACUGAGUUUAGUAUUACUGGUGCACAGCCACAGGGUCUUUUCUAUGGUGGAACCUCCUCUCAGACACAAAGAAGGGAAGAAACUCAAGUCAAAACAAACCAUGGAGCAGGCUCAAGAGAGGUUCAAGCUAGGAUGUUGCUGCUGAUUCUCCUCACUGACUGAAAACACCCCUUGACACCAGGCAGAAGGCAGGCUUCCAGGUAUUGGGCCCAGGAAAAGAAACCGGAUCCUAACAGACCUGAAAAAGGGGGAAAAAAACCUUCAUGUCCCAGAUAAGAAGGAACUUCAACUGCACAGGACAGUGGAUGAAAACCUCAGAAGAACUGAGGUAUGGAACACAGCAUCAAG
This is a non-coding RNA of Caretta caretta (loggerhead turtle), 672 nucleotides long. The record is from RefSeq and is a predicted model, not a curated record. Lineage: Eukaryota; Metazoa; Chordata; Testudines; Cheloniidae.